GUCACUUAUUAUCAAUCCAUUCAACGAGUCUAUUUGUAAUGAGAGCCAACACAACUGUACACCGAAAACUUCCGCUGGAAAGUUUAUUGACUGCUGAUAAGGAUCUUUACACUUGUGGAAGAGAUCACCGCAGUUCAAUUGAUAAUCGGAACACAUGAUCACUUGCAACAGUCAUCGGACAUUUUUAAACCUCUCACAUCGUCAGAGAGAACACAAACAACACGAACAAACAACCCGUUGGACAGCACCGAUAACGAGCAACAGACUGAAUCUUCGGGUUGGCAGGCGCUCGUCGUUAUGUUGCGAUGCUGAUUGUAGAAGAAUAAUGAAUAUGUAUCACAACUACUCAGCAUUGUUCUCACAGCGGCACUGCUGUA
Molecule: long non-coding RNA, 377 nt
Organism: Malaya genurostris
Lineage: Eukaryota; Metazoa; Arthropoda; Insecta; Diptera; Culicidae
Exons: 3
Source: RefSeq, a predicted model, not a curated record